RNAcentral lists this ribosomal RNA (253 nucleotides) under uncultured bacterium. RNAcentral describes it as "partial 16S ribosomal RNA". It matches the Rfam family "Bacterial small subunit ribosomal RNA", at positions 524 to 776 of the family's 1533-position model. The record is from RNAcentral.
UACAGAGGGGGCAAGCGUUAUUCGGAAUUAUUGGGCGUAAAGGGCGCGUAGGCGGCUUUUCAAGUGACGGGUGAAAUCCCUCGGCUUAACCGAGGAACUGCCUGUCAGACUGGAAGGCUUGAGACCGGGAGAGGUGAGUGGAAUUCCCAGUGUAGCGGUGAAAUGCGUAGAUAUUGGGAGGAACACCAGUGUCGAAGGCGGCUCACUGGACCGGAACUGACGCUGAGGCGCGAAAGCGUGGGGAGCAAACAGG